GUACUGUUGAAGAGUCCCAAAUAAGGACGAAACAGCUGUCCAGUAC
This 46-nucleotide non-coding RNA is filed under the name Trichobilharzia regenti. The record is from RNAcentral. Lineage: Eukaryota; Metazoa; Platyhelminthes; Trematoda; Strigeidida; Schistosomatidae.